GACGAACGCUGGCGGCGUGCUUAACACAUGCAAGUCGAACGGAAAGGCCCUGCUUUUGUGGGGUGCUCGAGUGGCGAACGGGUGAGUAACACGUGAGUAACCUGCCCUUGACUUUGGUAUAACUUCAGGAAACUGGGGCUAAUACCGGAUAGGAGCUCCUGCUGCAUGGUGGGGGUUGGAAAGUUUCGGCGGUUGGGGAUGGACUCGCGGCUUAUCAGCUUGUUGGUGGGGUAGUGGCUUACCAAGGCUUGAAGGGUUGCCGGCCUGAGAGGGUGACCGGCCACAUUGGGACUGAGAUACGGCCCAGACUCCUACGGGAGGCAGCAGUGGGGAAUAUUGCACAAUGGGCGGAAGCCGGAUGAAGCAACGCCGCGUGCGGGAUGACGGCCUUCGGGUUGUAAACCGCUUUCGCCUGUGACGAAGCGUGAGUGACGGUAAUGGGUAAAGAAGCACCGGCUAACUACGUG
Molecule: ribosomal RNA, 467 nt
Filed under: uncultured bacterium
Lineage: Bacteria
Description: partial 16S ribosomal RNA
Rfam family: Bacterial small subunit ribosomal RNA
Source: RNAcentral